RNAcentral lists this ribosomal RNA (253 nucleotides) under uncultured bacterium. RNAcentral's name for it is "partial 16S ribosomal RNA". It matches the Rfam family "Bacterial small subunit ribosomal RNA", at positions 524 to 776 of the family's 1533-position model. The record is from RNAcentral.
UACGUAGGGGGCAAGCGUUGUCCGGAUUUAUUGGGCGUAAAGAGCGUGUAGGCGGCCAGGUAGGUCUGCUGUGAAAACUCGAGGCUUAACCUCGAGCUGUCGGCGGAAACCAUCUGGCUAGAGUCCGGAAGAGGAGAAUGGAAUUCCCGGUGUAGCGGUGAAAUGCGUAGAUAUCAUGAGGAAUACCAGAGGCGAAGGCGGCUACCUGGACAAUUGCUGACGCUCAGGCACGAAAGCGUGGGGAGCAAAAGGG